This 253-nucleotide ribosomal RNA is filed under the name uncultured bacterium. Its description in RNAcentral is "partial 16S ribosomal RNA". It matches the Rfam family "Bacterial small subunit ribosomal RNA", at positions 524 to 776 of the family's 1533-position model. The record is from RNAcentral.
UACGUAGGGGGCAAGCGUUGUCCGGAAUCAUUGGGCGUAAAGAGCGUGUAGGCGGCUCGGUAAGUCCGCUGUGAAAGUCCAGGGCUCAACCCUGGAAUGCCGGUGGAAACUGUCGAGCUAGAGUCCGGAAGAGGCGAGUGGAAUUCCUGGUGUAGCGGUGAAAUGCGCAGAUAUCAGGAGGAACACCGGUGGCGAAGGCGGGUCUCUGGGCCGAUACUGACGCUGAGGAGCGAAAGCAUGGGUAGCGAACAGG